This 253-nucleotide ribosomal RNA is filed under the name uncultured bacterium. RNAcentral describes it as "partial 16S ribosomal RNA". It matches the Rfam family "Bacterial small subunit ribosomal RNA", at positions 524 to 776 of the family's 1533-position model. The record is from RNAcentral.
UACGUAGGUGGCAAGCGUUGUCCGGAUUUAUUGGGUUUAAAGGGUGCGUAGGCGGUUCUCUAAGUCAGUUGUGAAAUACUUCAGCUUAACUGGAGAGGUGCAAUUGAUACUGGAGAACUUGAGUACUGAUGAGGUAGGCGGAAUGGACGGUGUAGCAGUGAAAUGCUUAGAUAUCGUCAAGAACACCGAUAGCGAAGGCAGCUUACUGGGCUGUAACUGACGCUGAUGCACGAAAGUGUGGGGAUCAAACAGG